CAAUAAAUGACUGCAUGAGUAGGUUUUAAGGUAGGUGGUCUUGGUCUAACAUCAGACUCAAGAGGAUGCCUGUUCCGAAGAAGGAUUACAUAUUUAGGCUGAGGCUUUGCGAUGUCCUUAAUAAAAUUGUCUAUAGAGUCAAAUUAAGAUCCAAGAGCAUUAGUCAGGGCACCAAAUAAUUACACAGUUAUUUCCUAAAGUGAGUAUUCAAAACUAAUUUCACAUUUAAGGCCAGAGAAGCCAUAUUAAAGGAAUAGCUGAAAGUAACUGUUUCUGGACUAGGCUUACUGGGUUUUACGGUGGUAUGCGGUCCGGCAAUAUACCAUGGAUGGCCGAGGAUGAUGUGCCAGAGUGUGAGGACUAUAAUGGCCCUGGCCUGUUGUGGGAGAACAUUGGACUUCUGGGACAUCUAUGACCAUAGGGGGAAUCUGAUGGAUCUCCAUGGAGCUGAGAUGUUUUCCUGUUUGGUUACUUUAAAAUUAAAUUUGAAAUUUACUUUGAAUUCUCACUUAUUGAAUAGUUCUGACAGAGUCAACCUUCUCUCACAUGCUUUCAACUCAAAGUGAGGGCAAGGACAGUGAGUAGGCUUUGAUCCGCAUUGCUUGCUGUCUCCCACCUUUGAUGGAAACUCUGGUUCCAUAUCCUUUCUGCCGACAACUCUAUGUCACUAUAGCUGUCCCAUUCCUCAUUCAUUGCGUCAUUAUAGCCAUCCACUUUCUCCUUUGCUGUGUCACUGUCUCCAUAAAUAACCUUUCUCAGCCUUACAGACAGGUAGAUUUUUUUAAAAGGCAAAUAUGUUAUACAUUGAUAUCAGUGUAGGGUCAAAAUAUCGAGUUAAGUCCUGGCAGAUAGAAAGGGGACAGAAUAUAAUUUGAAGAAGGAUAUGCUUUUGUGCAAUGUGGGUAUUUUUCUUCCACACUGUGGUCCGUUUUCCACAGAAGAAUCCUACGAAAUAUUAUUGAGUGAACUUCAGCAUGAAUGUCUGCAUUAGUAAAAACAGCAUCCAUUGUAUAUGCAGAACUGCGGUGAGAAGUCUGAAACACAAUGCCUGUCCAUGUUGAUUUGCAUGUCAAGCUGGGAACUCUGGGAUAGUUUUGAAAAGAUGCUUUGUCAAGAUGCUAUGCCCAAGAAGAACCUCUUAAAUUCCAACUAAAGAUAUGCAGGUGAUGCACAACAACAUUUUUUUGUAUUUGCUCUGUAGGGAGUUGUAUUGUGUGUGGCCUCCCCAAAAUCUGUUUGGUACCUGGCUAUAUGCUCUAAGAGAGACUUCAACUUCCAAACCAGAACCAGCAUAAUGCUGAUGAGACGCACCUGUGUGAGAUUAAAGUUCAGGAUAUAUAAACUUCUAAAGCAGGCUAACAUCUGAAAAUGAAACCAUUUUUUUCAUGCAAACUGCGUCAGUAAGAGCCCGGUGAGGUGUGGCUAGGGCCGCAGAAACAGAAACAAAAGUGAUUUAACUCCUAAGUGAAAGAAAAUUGAACAGUGAGACUGCAGGGGCAUGAUCUACACACCAAAUCUGCUUCAUUUAGCUAAAGUUGUUCUUGUGCCUAUAGAGUCCCUUUAAGGUUUGCAUUGCUUCCAAGAAUUUCAAAAACUGAUCUGAUAGGUUGAACCAAACUGCUUGUGGAAUGUGAUUGAUCCUUUUGGAUUAUAGCACAUGCUUUGAUUUAAAAACCGCAGUGUUUAAGCUGGGAACUUUGAAAUAGUUGUGGAGACAUGAUUUCUCAAGUUUUUAUGCCCAAGAAGGAUCCCUCAAAGUCCAACUUGAGAAAUGAGAUAUACUUAACUGAUGUUCACCCUCCGUACUUGAUGUUCUCCAUUCACCUAAAUGUUGUCAGAGCAAAACAGAAUCUAUGAAUGCUCUAAAUUGGCAUUGCCGAUUUAAAUAAAUAAAUGUGAAGUAAAUCACAACUGUAACUUGAUGAAACGUUAAAGAUGACAAUAGAUAGUACAUCCUUUUUAACAAAGACCUUUCUAUAUUAAGAUGUGGAAUCACACUUGAAAUAUCUGCAAAACGAUCUUCAAAUCUGCUUCUUUCACAUUUCUGUUCUAUUGUUUAACCUUAUGUGUACAAAAAAACAUACUGUGAUAUAGAUAUUUUUAUGUCUUUUAUAGAUCUCUUCCUGUAUUUCAACGGAAAACGCCUACAUUGUUUGAUUGGACAAUAAUUGAAGAGAGAAUUUGGAAUUUUAGAUCAAAAUAACAAGUGGAAAUUUAGCUAGAUUUGACAUUUUUUCCAGUUAAGCUAUUAUGAUCAAGAAUGGCAACAUUCCAUUUAAAUUUCAUGAGAAUUCCUGAUUUAACAAAUAACCUAUAGAAUGUAAGAAACAUAGAAACAUAGAAACAUAGAAUGUGACGGCAGAUAAGAACCAUUUGGCCCAUCUAGUCUGCCCAAUUUUCUAAAUACUUUCAUUAGUCCCUAGCCUUACCUUAUAGUUAGGAUAGCCUUAUGCCUAUCCCACGCAUGCUUAAACUCCUUUUACUGUGUUAACCUCUACCACUUCAGCUGGAAGGCUAUUCCAUGCAUCCACUACCCUCUCAGUAAAGUAAUACUUCCUGAUAUUAUUUUUAAACCUUUGUCCCUCUAAUUUAAGACUAUGUCCUCUUGUUGUGGUAGUUUUCCUUCUUUUAAAUAUAGUCUCCUCCUUUACUGUGUUGAUUCCCUUUGUAUAUUUAAAUGUUUCUAUCAUAUCCCCCCUGUCUUGUCUUUCCUCCAAGCUAUACAUGUUAAGAUCCUUUAACCUUUCCUGGUAAGUUUUAUCCCGCAAUCCAGAGGUACCCCACUGGUGACAAGUCCAAGCUUCGAAUAUAUUCCAUUAAAUACAACCCUCUGUUGCCUGUUACUCAGCCACUGCCUUACCCAUUCAACAAUAUUUGAAUCCAAACUUAAAGAUUGCAGUUUAUUGAUAAGCCUUCUAUGUGCAACAGUGUCAAAAGCCUUACUGAAAUCUAGGUAAGCAAUGUCUACUGCACCACCCUGAUCUAUAAUUUUAGUUACCCAAUCAAAAAAAAAAUCAAUAAGAUUAGUUUGGCAUGAUCUCCCUGAAGUAAACCCAUGUUGUCUCUGAUCUUGAAAUCCAUGUGUUUUUAGAUGUUCAUCAAUCCUAUCCUUUAACAUGGUUUCCAUCACUUUCCCCACUACUGAAGUAAGGCUUACUGGCCUAUAGUUGCCCCACUCCUCCCUAUUACCUUUCUUGUAAAUGGGCACAACAUUCGCUAACUUCCAAUCUUCUGGGACUACUUCUGUUAACAAUGAUUGGUUAAAUAAAUCUGUUAAUGGUUUUGUUAGUACACCACUAAGCUCUUUUAAUAGCUUUGGGUGUAUUCCAUCAGGUCCCAUUGACUUAUUUGUCUUUACUUUUGACAGCUGAAAUAGAACCUCUUCCUCUGUAAACUCACGUGUAAUAAAUGACUCAUUUAUCCUUUUUCUCAACUGAGGUCCCUUUCCUUCAUUUUCUUCUGUAAAUACAGAACAAAAAUAUUAAUUGAGGCAGUCAGCCUGACCUUUAUCCUCUUCUAUAUACCUUCCUUCUUUUGUUUUUAAUCUAACUAAUCCUUGUUUUACUUUUCUUUUCUCAUUUAUGUAUCUAAAAAAUGUUUUAUCCCCCUUUUUUACUGACUGUGUUAUUUUCUCUUCUGUGUGUGAUUUGGAAGCUCUUAUAACUUGCUUAGCCUCUUUCUGCCUAAUCUUAUAGAUCAUUUUGUCUCCCUCACUCUGGGUUUUUUAUAAUUCCUAAAUGCUAACUUUUUGUUUUUAACUAUUUUGGCCACAUCUGCGGAGUACCACAGUGGUUUCUUGAAUUUUUUGCUUUUACUGACAAGCCUAAUGCAAUUUUCUGUUGCCUUCAAUAGUACAACUUUUAAAUAAUCCCAUUUUUCUUGGACUCCAUUUAAAUUGCUCCAGUCUGAUAAUGACUCCUCUACCCAUAUUCUAAUUUUAGAAAAGUCUGUUUUUGUAAAGUCUAAAACUUUUGUUUUUGUGUGGUGUGACUCAGUCACUGUUCUUAUAUUAAACUACACUGACUGAUGAUCACUGGAUCCUAAACUUUCACCUACAGUAAUAUCUGAUACCAAAUCUCCAUUUGUUAACACUAAAUCUAGUAUGGCCUCUUUACGAGUUGGCUCCUCAACAACUUGUUUUAGAGACAAUCCCAGUAGGGAGUUUAGAAUAUGUGUGCUCCUGGCACAAGUAGCUAAUUUUGUUUUCCAAUUUACAUCAGGAAGAUUAAAGUCACCCAUGAUGAUAACUUCCCCUUCAUUGUCAUUUUAGCUAUUUCCUCAACUAGUAGAUUAUCUAACUCUUCUAUUUGUCCUGGGGGCCUAUAAAUCACACCUACACGAGUUACUGUGUGAUUACCAAAUUCUAACGUAACCCAAACGGACUCUAUGUUUGUCUCACUAACUUUUAUUAGGCUAGAUUUUAUGCUAUCCUUCACAUACAAGGCCACCCCUCCCCCUUUCUUGCCUUCCCUAUCUUUUCUAUAUAAAGAGUACCCUGGUAUUGCUGUGUCCCAGUCAUUUUUCUCAUUGUACCAUGUCUCAGUAACAGCGACUAAAUCUACACUAUCAGUUGCCAUUAUUGCUACAAGUUCAUGGAUCUUAUUCCCUAAACUGCGAGCAUUUGUAGACAUGACUCUAAGCUUAUCAUUUUUAACACACUUGCUACAGGCACCUUCUGUCCUUGUUUUGGGGGACAAUUGGAUUGAUGUUUUAUCACCCUUUUGCCCCCCCCUCCUAGUUUAAAUACAUCCUAGCAAAACCUCUGAACUGCUCACUAAGAACAUUUGUUCCCUUUUGAGAAAGAUGCAAACCAUCUUUUUUGUACAGCUUAUCUCCAUUCCAAACAGAGCUACCAUGAGAAAUAAAGCCAAAUCCUUUUGAGCAGGGUCCUCUUCAACCUAUCGUUCCUGUAAGUUUUCUUGUAAUUGUCCUAUUUAUGGUUAAAUCCCCCCUCUCAUAAUAUUGUAAAGCGCUACGGAAUCUGUUGGCGCUAUAUAAAUGGCGAUAAUAAUAAUAACCAUGAAUAUAUUGUAUAUUCGUGAUAUGCCAGUUUUUAGAAUAAAAUCUAGAGGAAAGUUUGGCAAAAGUAUAUUAUGUUUCUAAAGAGCAUUUAAAAAAACCUCCAAGCCUCUUUUUGCCAAAAAGUAAUGACCCAUAUGGGACUCUCAAUGUUUCUUGAAUUGGAAUCAUUAAUAAUCACACAAAUUCCAUUUAACACACAUCUUUUUUUAUUUUAUUUUUUAUAAAUAUAUAUAUAUUUUUUUUUCUUCAAAUUUUAGUUACUUUAUUCUCUAGGGUUGAGACCACAAACUUUCUGUUCACUGAUUGACUGCCAAUAGCAUCAAACUUAGUCAAUAUUUUUGUACCAAAGUGGUCACCUGAACAAAUUCAGCACGUCUUCUACCCGCUGCGAAAGUUUGCAAAAAACGGCCGCUCGGGAGCAACCCAUGUAAUUCCGCAUCGGUUCAUUAAAUUACUGAAGACACUGCCCAAAAUACUUCCUCUGUUUUGAUAACAUAUAUAAUACAUAUGGAAUAUAAAUGCAGUAGCCCAUUUUAUUUUUUUAUAUGCUCCUAAAAUAACUUCUAAAACUUGAAUUAUUUAGUCUAGUUUUAUGGCAUUAAAAAUAAUACUGUUAUAACUAUAAAAAGUGGAGGGUUUUAAAAAAUAAUCUUAUUUUUCUUGAUUUAAUGCUGAAAAAAAUUGUAAAUGAUGUAGAAAUUGAAAGAUUUGGUUAUAUUUAAAAAUUUUCUGAAUUUUAUGUUUGAAACAUACACACAUUGAUAUCAAGAGAAAUAGAUGUACCCGUUGUUAAAUAGCAAUGCAUAUUAAUUGAAAGGGGCAGUGUAAAGUACAGUACUGUUUUACUGGAGAAAAUUAAUAAUAAAAAAAAAUAUAAAUUUGAAAAAUAUAUAUUAAAAACAUUAAAAAAGAAUUCCUGCAAAAAACAGGAAGUGACUGGGGUCUCUCAAUUAAAUUCUGAUAUUCUUAUUGUGUUGUUUAGAGUGUUGUACAUAUUUCAUAAAUGUCUGUAAACCACUAUAUACAGAAAACAAUGAUUAUGAUGUAAGAAUGAUGUGUAGCGAGAUCCAAUUUAAUAUGUCCAAAAAUAAUUUCAGAGGGAUUAGCAGUUAAAAUAAUAAUUUCUAUAAUUUCUAAGGUGACUAAAAAAAAUUUUGAUCCCUGGUGUACACAAGCUAUAAUGACAACAUUUCCCAAAACGUGUGUGUGUUUAGCUUACAGAUUAACUCAAGAGAUGCUUAAACAGGAUAUUUUACCGUAAUAAAGGCAGUUGGAGAUUCUCUUUGUAAUUUGACUGCAACUCAUAUUGCAGGAACCUAUCCUAUGGCUUUACACAUCUGUGAUAAUUUCCUUCAACUUUUAGAUUUUAUUACCUGGUCGUUAAAUUCACAUUGAGUUCUUAAAACAAAAAUGUUUAAAACAGAUGUGGUUGUUAAACUUACAAUAUGAAUUUUACAGCCUGAUAUUUUAUGAUACUGAAAAAAAAAAAAAAGAACUUAACCGCAAGGUCAAUAAUAGGAGAAUUUGUACGACUGGAGCACGAAGGACAGAAAUUGACCUAACCUAUAGAUCCUCUAAAUUGAUCAGAUAUGUUGCAAAGACAUGUCUUCAGUCUUAUAGUGAGUGAUAUUUUGCAGUUCACUUCAUGUGUUGCAUAUUAGGGUUGGCCUAGAUCAGAUCUAUAGAGAUUGUCAAUUUUAAUAACAUACUGUAAGUACAGGGAAUGUCAACAUUUAGCUCACUAGGUACUGUUUUAAAACAUUUCCCAUAAUUAUUUGGGUAUCCCUAAAUUAGCAUAUAUUAGAAAGCAGUCUAGCUAAUGGCUCAGAUCGAAUUUUUUAAGACAGCUAUACCUGUCGUUGCAUGAGUCGCUAUGAGAGAGGAUGAAAGCUCAGCAGUAAUCUGGAUUAUAUUUCUGGGGGGUGAAUAACGUUCAAGGUUCUCUUUUUAAAAAUGUAAAAAAUAUUAACCAUGUGUCAGUGAUUUACAUUUGAGUAAGUAUCAGCAGUGCAGUGUGUACUACAUAGGUACAGGAUUUAAAUUUUAGAAAAGUAUAUAUGUGUUACCCAUGGCUAUAGGAUAUGUUAAAGGGACACUAUAGGUAUCAAAACAACUGUACAGAUGAUGCCUCUGCAGUCUCACUGCUCAAUUCUCUAUGUUAAAUUAGGCGUUAAAUCAUUUUUGUUUCUCACUCACACAGCUUGCAUGAAAACAAAAGUUUCAUGUUCAAUCAGAUGUUAACUUGCAUUUAAAGCUUUUAUCUCCUGCUUUAUAAAUUGAACUUUAAUCACACACAGGAUUCUGUAGGCUCUAGUUGUGGCGGAACAAACCUCGCCACGUGUUCUUGGAGGGGGCUGCUUGCCCGCCUCCUACCUUCUGACUAUGGCCCUGGCAUAUAUGGCAUUUGAAAACACUAUUUGUGCCCUGUGACAAAACUGGAGAUUGUGCACAAAUAUGACUAUUGUCCAUAUAUUUUAUGAUUCCCUUCGUUUGUUGCACUGUUCCUCAUGUGUUUCAUCUGUUGGUUCGGCUGGAUAGACUACCAGACAAACUGUGGAGUUACUGGGUGGCCACCAUUUCAUGUAUCAAAGGUACAUGGUGAGAACAAUGGAUGAAGCACAUGGUGAGAACAAUGGAUGGCGGCCAUUUUAACUCAAAGACACUGUUUGGACUUUUCUACACGGUGCCAUCUCGCCAUUAUUUGGUGCUCAAAGACAUCGUUCAGUAGUUUUAAACUACAGAACAGGGGACACAUUUAACAGUAAUUAUUUUUCAUAUAGCCUGUAUAUGUUCUGCGGAAUCUGCAUUAAACUGUAUCUUCCAAACUACUGAACGGAUCUGGGUGAAUUUUGGAUAUGUGGUUCACCCAGAUCCCCCGGUUCCGAGGAUAUAUAUAUAUUUUUUAUAGGGUUAUUGCAUGUUUUGGGGUCCCUGUGAUAUGUUUUAUGUCCUCUCUCGCCUUGACUACUGUAAUCCGCUUCUCAGUGGUCUUACGUGCUCCCAACUUGCGCCGUUACAGUUCAUAAUGAAUGCGGCGGCGAGGCUCAUCUUCCUGUCCGCCCGCACCUCCCAUGCCUCACCCUUCUGUCAGUCUCUACAUUGGCUUCCUAUAAAAUAUAGAGCUCAAUUUAAAAUUCUAGUUCUUGCUUCCAAAUCUCUACAUAAUGCUGCUCCCACCUAUCUAUCCUCUCUUAUACACAAGUAUGUCCCGUCUAGGCCCUUACAAUCUGCUGAAGAAUUACGUCUAUUUUCUGUCCGUACUCCCACCUCUGAUGCUCGCCUUCAAGACUUUUCCAGGGCUGCACCGUUCCUGUGGAACUCGCUUCCCUCCUCCGUUAGAAUCUCACCCAGUCUCCACUCCUUCAAAAAAAUCGUUAAAAACCCACUUCUUCAUAAAAGCGUAUCAAUUAAACUGUUAAUAGCUCCUGACUGAUUCCUCUUCUGCAAUUGUCACUAGUCUAAUACUAUCCUUACCUUUUUGUGUCAUUUUACCCCACUCCCUCUAGCAUGUAAGCUCAUUGAGCAGGGCCCUCAACCCCUCUGUUCCUGUGUGUCCAACUUGUCUGGUUACAGCUACAUAUCUGUUCGUCCACCCAUUGUAAAGCGCUGCGGAAUUUGACGGCGCUCUAUAAUUAUCAUAAUAAUAAUAAUACUGUAUUUUCCUGCCUGUGAUUAUUAAGUUAGUCUAUUGUGUUGAGAUAAUUGUAUCACAGGCAGAGGUGAGGAUUUCUGAUGUAACGAAUGGGAGUGUUGUAAUGUGUUGAUUGGUUGUUCUAUGGGCAGUACUAUGUUUGUAGAAUGUGAAUAAAAGAGGCUGUUUGUGCCAGUACAGUCAGUUCUUCUUCACCCUCAAUCUAGAGUCCUGUCUCUUAUUGGGGGAAUUGCUAUAUCACUACAAGGGAUUGCUAUGCUAGUCAUACUCUCUUGCUAUAAUCACUACUAAGUUCUUUUAAGAGCUUGUUCCUGUUUUGCUUGCUGAAGGAGUCUACGGUGGUUAUGAUGUCUGCUGGAGUGCUUGGAGCCCUCAGGAAGGAGCAUCCUUCAACGGAGGUACCCAGUCGGGGUGCCAGGUGAUCCGUUACACUAGUAGGCUACUAUUGGAGCAGGGAUAAGACAUUCUAGAUGAAACAGACUGUGCAAUAAAGGAACCUAGAAUAUCUAAAUCCCUUUUUUAAUCUACAAUCACAAUUCAUGUUUCUGAGUAUUUCUACACCGACCACCUCAGUUCUCAGUAAGUUCUAUUCAGGAAACUUACACCAUCCCCACUCCCAUUGCUGCACCAUCCAUGGGACUGUCACACUGGGUUGUAUCAAGUAUUUGCACUAAUAAAAUUCUUGGUUUACAUAUUUUGCCUUUACUUUGCCUGAGCUAUAUUCUUUGCAUUUUGUCAUAUAGCGUAUGCUCUAAUUAUUGCUUACAACAAUUUAUUUCCUGAACAACUUACUACUGCAACUUUAGGAUGACCACAAUCACUCAUAAAUCAUGUCUUCCCUUUGUGUUAAUAAAGCUCCACCUCCACUUCCAAUCAUUUCCAAGGAUGACUUAGUCACCACUCAUUAUUUCCAAACUUUCACAAGUAUUAUGUCAUCAUGUGGAUAACAGGGACCUAAUGGGAAAACAGGUACCUGAAGAAACAGCCAGUGAAGGGCAAUUCUGUGGGUGAAAACACCUUGUUAUAGAGAGAGAUCAGUGGAGAAGGGAUAGACUGGUUGAAGAUGUCAGGAAGUGAAGAACUUGAUUCAUCAACGAGUGUCUUUGAAUGCACAAAGUAACAAACCUAGAAGUGAAUGGAAUGUUGCCAACGAAUGUCAACGAAAAACAGAAAACUGAAGCUACAGUGGGUACAGGUCCACCAAAACAGGACAUUUACCAAUACACCAAAAUGAUGGACUGCACUCAUGUAGGUAGCAAAUUGGUGCUCCAAAUGCAGAUAAUCUCCAAAACAUUAACUGAAACAAUAUUUACAGUCCAGAAGCUCUUCAAGUGCAGUGUAAUAUAUACUCCCACACUCUACAAUAAUUAAACAACUUGCACAUAAUAAAACAAUUAGACAGCAAUUAAAUAAUUAUAUUUAAUUAAACAAUUAGUAUUGUUUCAGAAAUCAAAUUUACCAACAUGAUCUGUUCUGACAACUUUCUAUUUCUGCUUCAACAUGCAACAUACAUAGGAAAAUACAAAAUUUAGUAUAUAAAACACAAAGCCAUGGACACGUCUUGUUUUGCGUCAUUUAUCCAUACUGCUGGGGUGCAAUGGUGUUAUUUUGGAAUGGAACAUUUUUUGGAUACAAAUUAGACCUUUCUAUGCAGGUAUUGUCGUGUCUCUGUAUUUCAGCUCUUCUAAUGGCUGCUUCGUUCAGGGGAUAAAUCACCACGUCAUAUAACUCAUAUCAUCUUUAGUUGGUUCCAUGAACAUUUUGGAUCCAUGCUGCAAGUAAUACAAGCUAUUUUGGGAGCAAACAGGAGGUUCUACACAGUAUUUAAAUGGUGGAAAUAAUAAUGUAAACCAUGAAUGUAUCUAGAAAGACUUCAAGUGCAUUGGUGGCUGACUUACACUUGUGAGGGUUACACUCAUAGGUAUAUGGGCUGCUAUGCUUAUUUCAGACGCUCUUCAUUUACUGGCAUGUCAGGAGAUGGGCUGUGGAGAUGAAGCAUGAUGGUGAUGGUAUGUGUCUUCUCCACUGUCCCUCCAUGGUAUAUUAAUAACAGAACAGAGACCGAAUUAUUGACAAUGUUGAUAACAGACAGAGAAAGACACACUGCCACCACUUCACAGCUCUUCUCCGGUAUGUCAGUAGUCGCUGGCCAGGAGUGUGAAUCCUACCAAUCUAAGACUUGUACAUCUUGAUAUUUAUCUAAAAUGGAACUCUAAACAUGGCAUUAUAAAUUCAAAGACAAAAAAAAAAAUGUGUACGUGUAUUAUGGGAAACGAAUACAAUGUUAGGGUUCUUGAGACAUUUAUACAGCACUCGACUUUGGUCUUGUCUUUGUUUGUAUUGUUAUGUACACACUGUCACAUUGUUAUUAUUUAUUUAACUAGUCAAGUAUAAAAAAAAUAUAUAUAUAUCUCCUGAAUUACCUUAUUAUGUUAGAACAUUGAACAUUCCCUAAUGUGACCCUUAUUUUACUUUGCUUGGAAGAUAUAAUCGCUGUGAGAUUGUUUAAAGAUUAAAUUAAUUAAGGUGCUCAGAUAAUAUUGCCCAAUACCCUGUUGCGUAAGAUAUCCACAAUAGUUUUAAUCGCUCAAGACAGCGCGUAAAGAAAAUAAAAAUAACAUUUAUAGUUUGUGAAGUUCAACAUCAUGGGCAUCAGUCCAAAGAACAUAGAAAAAAAAAACAAAUCCUGCAGACAUUGUUCCUGCUUUUAGAAACCGCAGAGUUAAGGUUCACAUUUUUUUCGAAGCCUUCUAAAUAUUCACACUUUAGAGAUUUAACCUUAUCUCGGUCAAAAUCUUCCCUACAGAGUUUGUUUAAUUUUUUUUUUGUUUUCAUUUUACUCAUAGAAGUGCUAAAGGACAUUUCUAUUUUUAUUUUUUUGUACUUGUUUAUAUUUCAUUUUUAUUUUUUUACUUUUUUAAAUAGAAUUUGUACUUACUUUUUAUCUUCUUUUAUAACAUAAUUUGGGGGUUUGUGUUCUUAUUGUUUUGCAUGUUUUUUAAAAAAAACAAAACAAAAAAAAACACUUUUAUUAAAUAUAGUCUUUGUGAAUUUCCAAUCAAAGCUUUUUUUUUUUUAUAAAUUUUCCAGAGACUCCCAAACAUUAAAUGUAUGUCUCUGAUUGGUGUUUAUUUAAAAAAAAAAAAUAGUAGUUUAUAUUUCAGAAAAAGCAUAAUAUGGUUGAGCACUCUUCAAAGCAGCCACAAGUUUACUUGUGCUGAAGAUAUCCUAUACAUAAUAUGUAGAUUAAAGGCAUGAAUCAUUGAAGGUGUUAAAAUAACAUAAUACAUGGGACUGAUUCUGCUGGAAUAGACCUCAUGCACAAAUCUGAUUCUCAAUUGUAACUGUAAUGUAUAUAUUAACAUUUUUGCAAGCAUAUUCAAAAGUGUGAAUAAGUGUAUGUGAUCCAAGAGUCUAUCUCAAUAGCUCCCAACUGAGAUUUUUCUCCUUUUGGGCAGGAGACAAUUAGUACGAUGCAGAACAAAAACACUGAAUGUUUUUGAGUUUGAAACAUUGAAGGAAACUAUGUUACUGGUUUGUGCCCAGACCUACUAUUUAUUUAUUUUGGUUCCUCUGUUCCCCAUUUUUAUUUCCGAUUCAUGAAUUCCAUUACCCCACUAUCAUUUAUUUACGCCAGUCAGCUUCUCGAACUUUCAUUAUCCAUCCUCUCCUAUCCUCUAUUUCUAUUUUUUGUAAAUAAUUUAAACCUCUAUAGAGGUCUUACAAUGAUUCACAAGCUUUACAUAAUAAAAUAAAUCGAAGCCAAGUGGUAUGUAAGGUAGGAGACAUAUAAGAAAAGAGUAUCUAAAUCAGUCACAUUAAGCAAAACAGUCUGCUUGGUGGCACAUAUUUAUGGGAAAUAUUCUAUAGUUAUAGUGUUCUAGCAGCUUAAAUUUGGUGGAAUCCAGUUUAAAAAUAAGGUCCAGGCACUGAAAUGUUUUUUCGGCGCAUUUAUUGGAACCAGUGGAACACUGCAAUGUUUUGACCCCCAAGAGGGUCUUUGUCAAGCUAAGACCCAUCUUGUGGGUCUUCUCUUGGUUCCAAUAAAUGUGCCUAAAAAGUAUUGGGGUGCCUGGACCUCAUUCUUCAACUGGCAUCUAUAUUCUGUUGGGCUGGUGUUGGCCCAUGGUCUAGUUAAGCAUCCUCUUGGUUUAUGAAGACUGAGUGCAGUUCCUAUUAUCUCUCUGUAAACUUGGUAGAAUUACCGUAUAAUGUGGAAAUAACAGAAAACAACAGUAGUAGUGUGGUAACCCAUUUUCAUUCCCUAUGUUUGUCCCCUGUCCCGUCUUUUAUUUCAGUCUUACUUCAGUUUUAUUUCUAAUCCUCAAUAUCAGUCCACUUCUUCUUUUAUUCAUAGCUGUCCAGCCUCCUUGUUAGUGACCUUCCACCACCCUCCCUACCAGAACGGGUUUUCCUCAUUCCUUAAUUCCAUAACAACUCCCAUUCUUCCCCAGGCAUACCAGCUUGCAGUAUCUACUUCACACAAGAACUAUAGUAUGUCAUCACCUAACCUGCUACUACAACAAUGUUACCUCAAGUCAACCCUUUGCGUUCAACAUUUACUCAAGGUUCCAGACUUGAUAACUAUGCUAAAAAGCUUGAGAGGACUCUGGGUGCCAGUGGUAGCUCUUGUACUCUAGGUCCUUCAUGAUGUAAAACUAUUGCCUACAUUAUUGAAAUAAUAAACAAUAUCAUGAAGUCUAUAUGUCAUGUAGAUAGUUGUGGCAUCAGAAGGUUUUGGCCAUCUUGGUGAAGAUGCCCAGGUUUGUGUUUCUGAACAUUCAGUUGAUGUAUGACUCUAAAAAAAUUUUUUCUUGAUCGGAGGUUAUAAUACACACCUUACAACUUUUCUGUUUCACUCAACAGAUUGGCACUUAUUUGGUUGACCGAAGAUUUACAUCUGCAAUUGCUGUUUAAUGACAAAUUACAUCCUAAUUGACGUCCCAGGCCAUUUGACACGGCAAUUGAUGUCCUAAUUGACGUCCCAGGCCAUUUGUCAACAUUAUAGGGUUAAGUAUUUUCGGCGACAAACUUGGAUGCCUUUGAAUGCGUACUAGUUUGGCUUAAAAUCUGUAGAUUUUGGCAAUUUUGAUUGAUUUCUCUCUACCAAUUAAUUAAUAUAUAUUCAACCUUCUUCUAGGACCAGUGCAGCAAACCUCUAUUUUAAAAUAUAUACAGGCUGCCAGGAUAUAUUUUAUUAGCAACUUGUGAAAUAAAGGUCCAGUUAUUGCUACAGAAAGUGUUAUAUUUUAUUUCUGUACAUUUUAGCUAAAAAGUAUGAGUAUGGCAAAAAUCUAAGCGCUCAAUAUUUACCGCAGACAGGAAGGUUGGCUCACUUUAGAUUGUAAGGGGAAUUGAUGUAAUUUUAUAAUAUAUGAUGGUUGAAUUCCUUUACAGGGAAAGGUUAUACCCAAAAGUUUUAUAUUAUUUUUAAUAGUAACAUUGCUCCUGACCUACCGCUAGAUGUGAAGUGGCCCAUUUUUCCAAGCAAGACAAGGUAGUCUAUAAAACUCUUGUUAAUCAGAACUUUACAGUCGAAUGAAAAACCAAAGUGGGCAAUACAUGACUCCAAACGAAACCUUUCCAAACCACUGUGAGAAAACUCAAAUCACUCCAUGUGCAUUUUUUUUUUUUUUUUAAUGGGACUACAAACAAAUAAAUAAAUAAAAAGGAGAAAUGCCGGAUAAGUAGAAAAUGACGAACAAAUUUGUACAAUGUUUAAGCAUCUGUUGAAAAUCCGCAGAUCCCUCUAAAUGAAUGCAGAUGUUUCCUCAAAUUCUAGAUUGCUAUCAAAAAUGAAAAAGGCUUCUUUCAACACGAGAAUCAUAGGCAUAUCAUGGUAAAAUUUCUAAUGGGAACCUUGUUUGUUUGAAAAUGAGAACAACCAGUAGAAAGUACACUGGACACAUCUGUUCUUUUGUCCACUAAAUGGGUUUAAUCAUACUAAAAAAAAUCUAUAUAUUUAUAUGGAUAUUUAUAUGUAAGGACCUCUAAUGCGCACCUUUAUUGGCAAAAUAAAGUUUCCAAAACUUGAAGUGAAAUUGAAAGCACAUUAAAUCCGAAUAAAUUGGCUGGCGAUUUUCAAAAUUCACCAGUAAAUUUCACCCCGGAAAGAGGGCGAUCCUCACUUAACAACUGUUGUAGGAACGGAACUCGGUUGUUAAGGGAGGAGCAAUCUGUGUUAUAAAGAGCUAAUAUAAAAAAAUUACAAAAAAAUAAAAUAAUGCACGAUAUUGUAUACUAGUAUCUUCUUGAACAAACGCGUGUUAUAUUUGCCAACGGAAACAGUUUUCAGCUUCCAGGUUCCAAAAUUUUAAGUGCGCAUUAGAUUUGAUAGCGAAUUAGAUUCAAGUAAAUACGAUACAUAGUAUUUUCAGGGUUCUGCAUGUCCACUUGCCGCUAGCCACUGGCGAGGGAAAAUGUAUCCCUGGUGACUAGAAAUUCACGCAUGGUGAAUAUGCUAUGGCUUGCAAUGACUAGUAACUUUUAACAUCUGGCUAGUAGCACAGGACUUCAAAUUUAGAGCCCUGGUAUUUUAUCUUAAUAUAUAAUAUAUACACACAAACACAUAUUUAUACAUUAUGACAGAUCUAAGUUAAAAUUAAUACUCAUAUUGCUAGAAGCUUUCUAUGCCUCUUUAUAUGUAAAAUCUGUGUGCUUCCACUACAUAUCUCUAGAUUGUAAGCUUGUUUGAGCAGGGUCCUCUUCAACCUAUUGUUCCUUUAACUUUUUGAAAUUGUCUAAUUUAUUAUUACAUAAUUAAGGUGGCACUAUUUAAUGCCAAUAAUUGUAAUACUACUAUCAUUUUGUUAUAGAUGCCAGUUAAUUUUGCUAAUUAGGACAGUGCUGGUAUAGUCUGCACAUGGUAUAUUAUAGCUUCCUAUUUAUGAGUCCAAUGUGUCUACCUACAAUCUGGGAUGAGUCUUAGACCUGAAGGUAAACUCUUGGGUAGUAUAACAAAAACCACCAGCAACCCAGACCCUGAGGAGGCAGACCAAAGGGCAAGCUGGGAACUGGGACAUGUGUGAGUGGGGGUGAGGGGGAGUGAAGAAAAGUUCAAGGAAGGGAAGUCCUGUAUUUUGGGGGGUGGGGAUAUAGGCUAAGGGGGAUGGCCAUAUAUAUAGGGGGAGCCAUUUCCUUUUAUCCCCAGCCAUCUUAAUUAUCCGGCUUGGGAACAGCUUCCCGCCCCCCCCUCCCCUGUUAUGUUUGUAUUUAUGGUAUUAUCUGUAUAGGCUAAUUUCCUUUUCUUGUCACAGCAGGCGGAUGAAGAUCCUUGCCAAUCAGGGUUGAA
Non-coding RNA from Pelobates cultripes (western spadefoot toad), 15965 nucleotides. Lineage: Eukaryota; Metazoa; Chordata; Amphibia; Anura; Pelobatidae. The record is from the annotation of a GenBank genome assembly.